RNAcentral lists this ribosomal RNA (497 nucleotides) under uncultured bacterium. RNAcentral's name for it is "partial 16S ribosomal RNA". It matches the Rfam family "Bacterial small subunit ribosomal RNA", at positions 28 to 507 of the family's 1533-position model. The record is from RNAcentral.
GAUGAACGCUGGCGGCGUGCCUAAUACAUGCAAGUCGAGCGAACAGACGAGGAGCUUGCUCCUCUGACGUUAGCGGCGGACGGGUGAGUAACACGUGGAUAACCUACCUAUAAGACUGGGAUAACUUCGGGAAACCGGAGCUAAUACCGGAUAACAUGUUGAACCGCAUGGUUCAACAGUGAAAGACGGUCUUGCUGUCACUUAUAGAUGGAUCCGCGCCGCAUUAGCUAGUUGGUAAGGUAACGGCUUACCAAGGCAACGAUGCGUAGCCGACCUGAGAGGGUGAUCGGCCACACUGGAACUGAGACACGGUCCAGACUCCUACGGGAUGCAGCAGUAGGGAAUCUUCCGCAAUGGGCGAAAGCCUGACGGAGCAACGCCGCGUGAGUGAAGAAGGUCUUCGGAUCGUAAAACUCUGUUAUUAGGGAAGAACAAAUGUGUAAGUAACUAUGCACGUCUUGACGGUACCUAAUCAGAAAGCCACGGCUAACUACGUG